This 2287-nucleotide long non-coding RNA is filed under the name Equus caballus (horse). RNAcentral describes it as "lncRNA (ENSECAG00000055734.1)". Lineage: Eukaryota; Metazoa; Chordata; Mammalia; Perissodactyla; Equidae. The record is from RNAcentral.
AAACGGAUCCAGGACCCAAAUGCUGCCCUCCAUAUGCUCUCUCCAACUGGGUUGCCCUUCUCUGCUAUGGCAAGUGCGUUCUCAACGUGCGCUGGGAAAUGGCUGCCAGCAACCCAGAUCAGGUCCUUCCAGGACAGUGGCCCCAACAGGUAAGAGAAUCUUCCUUGCAACUCCACCUGCCCAGGAAGUGAUGGGUCCCAUCCUGCGGUAGGAGGGGUCACUCUGAUUGGCUGGGCCUGGGUCAUGUGCCCACCUGUGGCUAGGGGAGUGAGGUGCUGUGAAUGGCAGGCCCUACCAGAAUGACACGAUUGAAGAAGUUCGGCUCAAAGAAAUGGGGUGCUUCCAGGAAAAUACAACUCCUUUCCACUUCAGUCCAACAUUAAUAAGCAAAUAAGCAGAUGAAGGCGUGUCUGUGUGAGAGGGAAUUCUGUCUCUAGUCCCUGCCUAAGGUCACUGACAGGCGCCCUCGCGCCCUCUGAGCACAGAAGUGCUGCUGGUAAACCGGGCUGCUAAUUCCCCAUGACAUUUGACCUUUCAACUCCAACCAGCUGAGUGGCAGCUGAAUAUAAAGCCACAGCUGGAUGUUGACAGUUCUUGGCCUCAAACAGAGAGAGGGAGGAAGGUGCAGAUGCCACCCAUCUCCUGUGGGCAGAAGGGGCAAGCAACCUGAUUUGCUUGAUGAUGUGUCCCAGUUCUAACCGAGGAGACACGGGGUAUAAGCUCCUUUAUGAUUUCCCCGCCAAAAACAAGGGGCCCCCUUCCAGGAGCACAACUCUUUAUCGGUGACCUUGUGCACUUGUGUCUGUUCACAGGAACCUUAGCGUGGCCAGGAGUCCAGGAAAAUACGGUGGGGGUCCUCGAGGACCACCCCAAGAAGCUUCAGACUUGGUUCUGCUGUGAUGUCAGGAAGCCGAUGGACGCCUGCGGCUGCUUGUUGCUGUUGUCACUGCAGGGGCCGGGGCGCUAGAAGAGAGGAAGUUUGUGCCCCAGAGAGGAGCCAAAUGAGCACCCCGAACAGAGAGACGGCAGGGGCAGACUUCCAGAGUCAGGAUGGACCUCACGAUGCUGGAGUCCAGAGGGAGGCAGAAGAGAGGGACAGAGACUUCUGAAGUCUCCCUCGAGCUCGCCUCCUCUCCGGAGGGACCUUUGCUUCCAGAAUGGAGCCGUUCGGUCUAUUUUUGCAGUAGAGCUGGCUGCCCCAUGCCAAGGUUUCUUACCACAAAUAGAACUUCUGGAAGGGCCCACUGGUUUCCUCCGCGCUUCCAGACACCUCUUCACAUUUCAUCUGGCUUCCCUUCUCCAGCCCCAAAAGGGAAUAUUCCGAGUCUCCUCUGUGUUGCUGUGAUGAGGGCACCUCCAGAGGCCCUCCAGGGGGACUCCCUCGGGGCGGCCGUGAGCCUGGCCUGGCGCUUGGGCUCUGGCCUCUGGCCCACCCCGCCACCACUCCCUACAAGCUGAGCUGCGAAGCCCCAGGGGGCCGAGUCCCAGAGUGAAUCCCAAACGGAAGGCUCACCCCUGAGUGAGAUGGUGAAACAGACGAACCACACUCAGCGUCCUCGUCCCCUCAGCUCUCUGGCCCCUCACCUGUCAUUUAACGUGGGCUUUGAGAACUCAUCACUCCGAGUGUCAUGGCCAAGGGAUAUAAAACUGAGACACUUCCCUAAACGGGAUGCCUGGAAUCUGGACACGCUAGAAACAUCCCUGCGAGCUGAAUUAAAAGAGGUGAGGGGAAAUAAAAGCUCACCUCACCAACCUGCUAGGAAUUGUCAACCAGGCAAGAGCUAAGUGGGCCCAAGACCAGCUUUGGUUUGUCAGGGUCUGAGGUUAGACCAUGCAGGGGAAAGCUACUUUCUCGAGAUGCUUGAGACAGAGCUUCGGAAGAUUCCAGAACAGCAGCAACAAACCCAAUCAUUUGAAAGGCUCCCAUGUUAUGUAAGCAUCUCACCUCCUCUCAGGCGGUGUGGCUGGUAAGAGCUCAGUCUGGCAGACGGACUGGGUUCCUAUUUCAGUUCUGCCGCUUGCUGGCUGUGUGACCUUAGGGUGUUUCUAAACUGCUCUAAGCUUUUCCUUUCUUCUUGGGAAGCAACAAAGGGGAGAAUGACAACGCGCCUGGCAGAGAAUAAACCUGCAAGGAUGAAUAACAAGAGUCUACGAGAGCUGGACCCUUAACAUGAGCGAGAGUGACACCCUCCUCACGGUCCCAACCAUCCAAGCUAAAGGCUCGAGCUAAGAGGUGCCGACUCCAUGUGAACUCGAGGUGCAAGUGACCCUGCCCUCGGAGCUGCUC